UACAGAGGCCUCGAGCGUUAGGCGGAAUCACUGGGCUUAAAGCGUGUGUAGGCGGACUUCUAAGUGCCUUGUGAAAUCCCACGGCUCACCCGUGGAACUGCUGGGCAUACUGGGAGUCUUGAGCCACCUAGGGGCGAGCGGAACAAAUGGUGGAGCGGUGAAAUGCGUAGAUAUCAUUUGGAACGCCAAAGGUGAAAACAGACAGCUGGGGAUGUGCUGACGCUGAGACACGAAAGCCAGGGGAGCGAACGGG
This 253-nucleotide ribosomal RNA is filed under the name uncultured bacterium. Its description in RNAcentral is "partial 16S ribosomal RNA". It matches the Rfam family "Bacterial small subunit ribosomal RNA", at positions 524 to 776 of the family's 1533-position model. The record is from RNAcentral.